This 497-nucleotide ribosomal RNA is filed under the name uncultured bacterium. RNAcentral's name for it is "partial 16S ribosomal RNA". It matches the Rfam family "Bacterial small subunit ribosomal RNA", at positions 28 to 507 of the family's 1533-position model. The record is from RNAcentral.
GAUGAACGCUGGCGGCGUGCCUAAUACAUGCAAGUCGAGCGAACAGACGAGGAGCUUGCUCCUCUGACGUUAGCGGCGGACGGGUGAGUAACACGUGGAUAACCUACCUAUAAGACUGGGAUAACUUCGGGAAACCGGAGCUAAUACCGGAUAAUAUAUUGAACCGCAUGGUUCAAUAGUGAAAGACGGUUUUGCUGUCACUUAUAGAUGGAUCCGCGCCGCAUUAGCUAGUUGGUAAGGUAACGGCUUACCAAGGCAACGAUGCGUAGCCGACCUGAGGGGGUGAUCGGCCACACUGGAACUGAGACACGGUCCAGACUCCUACGGGAGGCAGCAGUAGGGAAUCUUCCGCAAUGGGCGAAAGCCUGACGGAGCAACGCCGCGUGAGUGAUGAAGGUCUUCGGAUCGUAAAACUCUGUUAUUAGGGAAGAACAAAUGUGUAAGUAACUAUGCACUUCUUGACGGUACCUAAUCAGAAAGCCACGGCUAACUACGUG